GGUGCUUCUGGCCGCUUGCUUUGGGGGGCACUGUUGCUCCAGCAUGAGAAUUCCAGCGGGCUGUGGGUGUUGGGUGCACAUUUGUCACCUGGGAAUACUACCAGCAAGCCUCAUAUUUUUUCUGCAAUAAAUGCUGGAAAGGAAAAAGAAAUGCUGAAAAUGAUGAAGUAAUUCCAAUUCUGCUGAUAGAGACCUGGAAAUGCACUAGGGAAAAAUGACAAGAGUGUAACACACUGCUGCUGAUUAUGUCAUAAUGAUUAUUUUAUGCAGUUUGAAGAAGACUCACUGUUCUAAAGAACCAGCAUCCAUUUCCAGGAAAGAGCAGGGAUUCUCCAUCCAUACCUCCAUGGGAUGAACCACAUUGAAAAUAAUGAUUUCCUUCUAAUAGCUUACUCUACAUUAUAUAAAGAAUUCCUUGGGAUUCUAAAAAAACCCUAAUAAUAUAGUAAUAAUAACAACAGAGGUUUGUUUUUGCUAUUUGUAGUCUAAUAUUCAGAUUGUGAGCAGCUGUUUUGGAAGGCAAGAUGAGUGAAUAGAUGUGAAGUCGUCUUAGAAAUGUCCAGGCUUCCAAAAGAAAUUUCACUUUUAAAAGAAAAUAGCCUAAUGUGAACCACAUUAGAAUCAGCACAUCUAAUCCUACGGAGAAAAAGUGACCAUGGCUGUCUACACAUAUAGGCAGGUCAUUCAAGCUCAUUCAAAAAUUCCACUUUCACUGGUGGUCUGUCUGUGUCCACAUGGUGACAAAUGGCCCCGGCAGGGUUUUUGAGGUGUUGGCACCACCAGUGAGUGCCAGAUGGAAUGUGGUGAAAGUUCUGAUUUGUACCUUUCAGACUAAAGGUACUUUCCAGAAUGGACGGGUCCUUCUGGCUGCCUUUUGUAAGUGCAGCCACAGGUAUUCUGUUGAAGCCUGUGGGUGAGAAAGACAUAAACAGGUGCUAUAAAUUUGUCAGACCAGGAAGCCACAGGCCGUUUAGUAAAUGGUAAACCCAAUGGCCCAAAAGAACAAAGGGGUCUCUUUUCAUCAGAAUGAUCAGGCUCAUUCAACAAAUAUUUAUUGAGCACCCACUUUCUGCCAGAUGGAAGAGCCACUGACAAGGCCUCUUAUUUAAAGAGUGCCUGAAGUGAGGAAGCAAACCCCCAAAUCAUCUGGGAUGGUAUGAACUGAACUCUGGACCGCAACAUGAUGGAAAGGAGGAGCUGGGGUCCCAAGGGCAGUCCAGACAACCUGAACCUGUGACACUCACCCUGCCCACACACUCUCAGAGCUGCAGCUUUCACGGGGGUGACAUGAAUGCUUGUAAAUGAGCUUGCUGAAUGGGAGACCAAGAACGAUGAUAUUGAGCUGUUACUACAUGCCAGACAUUUAACCCUUUCAUCCAGGUUAUCUCAAUCAUUCCUUACAGAAAGGCUUUUGAGAUGUCCUUGCAACUGGAGGUGCCAUAUGAUACAGUUCUGCCCAAAGACAAGAAAGUGAAUGUCUGUUGAGGGCUUCCUAUAAGGCCAAUACAUACAGGUGUUCCCAACAACAGGUAAGUCAAUUCAGCUGGUUGGAUUUUUCACUUUUCAUCUGAAUGUUUACAUGUAUCUGAAUGUUUCCAUAGACAUAGACUGAGCGUGUGACUUGAGUCAAAGUUAAUUUGAGUAAGAAACCAAGGGAGAAUUUUAUUUCUUUUUAUUGAUGCCUCAGUCUCUUUCCAUUUUUUCAUAGAGACCCAGGAGUCCAUGUUAAAAGUGUCCUAAAGAGGAGGUAAAGGCUAAGGAAUUUGAGAACCCUAAGAUUUUCUUUGAAAUUCUGUGGAGAUGAUGCUAAGAGGAUCACUUAUAAAUGCUUAUUGGAUGUAAUUUCCAUGUUGGACAGGUGAUAUUUCCAGGGAGAAGCUUAAGGGAUUGUAGGUAAUAUAAAGUCUCAAGGUAGAAAACACUGACUCUGAGACUGUGUAUUUAUAAUGUGUGUGUGCAUGUGUAUGUGUAAUUCAUUUGCUGAUCUUUGUUUAACUUUUUAUUAAACUAUAAUGUAUGUGCAGAAAAAAAUGCACAUAUUAUAACAUAGAGCUUAAAGAAUUUUCACAAAUGACCAUAUCUUUGAACCCAAUACCCAGGUCACAAAACAGAACAUUACCAGAACCCUAAAAACCCUUGUUCUCCCUUCUAAUAACUACCUUUUUGGCCAACAAUAACUACCAGGCUUCCAUUCUUACCUUUUUACAAAACAAACCAAUGAGUGGAAGCGCAAGGUCACCCCUUCUCCUGUUUUCACUUGCUCGCGAUUGACAUGGGGAAGUAAAACCUGUACUAUGGCACAUUUAAUUAUGGGAAAAUGAAAAGAAAGAAAUAAAAACCAGACCAACAAAGCAAAGAUUUAAGUUGGCAUCGCUUUCCAUAUCAUUGUGAUGCCGGCAGACACUCAAUAAACAUAUCAGCAUUGUUAAAAUGAUUUAUCAGCCAAAUAGUUGAAUGUAAAAUAUUAUCAAUACAGGUGUCAUCAUUGAUCUUUCUUGGGUCUCACUGCUGAAGAAUGGGGCUGUAAGAUGAUUUCAACAAACAAUCCUUGACAGGAAACCAAAGGCAACAAGGCACAGGGACAGACAGCUGACAAAUGCAGUAUGGGGCCAUUAAAGCAUGUGAUGAAUUUGCCAGGAAAGUAUAUAUUUGUGCAAGAGGUGAGCUCAUAUCUCCCAUAAAUUUGUCAGCCGUGACACAGUGUUCUCCGGCUUGGCAUGAGUAAUGCCUUGCUAUUUGCGCCUUUGUCUGGCAAAAGCUCUAUCAGUCACUCCAGGGUUAUUUACAAAGAAACGUGUCUAUCAGUUACAAGGACAUGACUUUGCUGCUAAAAGAUAACAAAAGAAGAAAUCAGGCAGUGGCCUCUCAGCGAGGGAUGCGUCUUUUCCAGACAAGCUCUGGACUGGAAUGAAUCAGAUGGACGGCAAUUGGCCGGGCUGGCCCAGUGCCUGGCAUGACCAGCCUUAGUGCAUUUAUCCACACUGAUUAGAUUAGAAAUUAUUAAUAGGGGGCUACGGAGUAGAGCAAAAGGUCAUUUAGAGUUUAAUUCUGUUCUCAGAUAACUUCAUUUCGGCUGAUGGGAUUGUUAUUGUAGGGGUUUUAUAUGUUUAUAGGAAACAAUAUACUCAAUAAUGAAGUCCUGCCUCCUUCUGCAAGGUCAGGAAAGCUAUUGUGUAGCUAGAUUGAAGUCUUCACAAUUGUGUUAAUUAAGUAACAGUGAUUGGACUUGGUCUUCUCUUGAAAUGCAUUUAAGAGCCUAAAAGCUGCUGAGAAUGUAUUCUUUCAAUAUAAAUAUAUAGUAAAGCAAGUGAGACCAGAAAGCAGCUGACGAUUGAGUAAACAGAAGAGCUGACAUGAAGCUUUUACUUAAGACAGGAGCCUGGUUGGCAGAUGUAACUUCUUGCCACAUAAAUACAAAUGUCUUGUCAGUUUAUGAUUAAACAUAACAGGUCCCUUUUUCUUACUCAAUUCCUGAUGAAUCUGAAAGAUAAAGCUGUAGAAAGUAUAGUUGAUGGUCUCAUCAGUUACUUUGUUGCCUUGCAGGCCUGCCCAUUUGAGGCAGAUGAUCAGAGUACGGUAAGAGGCAUGUCCUUCUCAGAUUAAAGGGCCAUAGCCUUGGUCUUGGCUCAUAGUCCAGGGUCAUUCUGGAGAGGGAACCCAGCUUUGUCCCCUCCUUUGGAGGGCUUAUAACUCAGAUAUUAACAUUUGCUGAAGAUGGUUGUAAUUUUUUUUGUUCUGAGGUACAAGAUCUCUUCUAAAUAGCUAAAAAAGAAUUUAGUUGAUUCUAAGUGAAAAGUGAGUUCAUGGAAAGCACUUUGUUGCCAUGUGUUUCUUAAAGACCACAGAAGACUUUUGGGCUCCAGUUAAGCAAGUCCCCUUCGAUUUGGCUCCAGAUGCAGUGAUACCCCACGAAGGGGAAGUUUAAAGUGAAACUUGGCAACUGGUGAUUGAGUCUUAUCUUCCCAACUCUCCUCCAACGCCCCCACCCACACAUAUAAGAGAACCACCAUCCAAAGACAGAACUUAGGAGAGUUGUUGAAUUGAAAUGAUAGUUUCAUUGAUGUAAGUUUUGUAAAAUACCUUUAAGGCAGAGAUUCUCAAAUGGAAGUGAUUUUGUCCCCCAAGGGACAUUUGACAAUGUCUGGAGACAUUGGGGUUGUAACAACUAGGAGUGGAUGAUUGCUACCGGCAUCUAGUGAGUGGAGCCAGAGAUGCUGGUAAACAUUCUGAAAUACCUGCCCCCUACAUAGAACAAACAGUCAUCCAGGCCAAAAUGUCAAUAGUGUGAAGGUUGAGGAACCCUGCUCUCAAGAACCUUUGAAUCAAUGAAGGAUGAGGAGUUGGGAGAGGUUACUCUCUCUAGGGAAUGGGUUACCAUACAGAAUUUCUACUUAGAAAAAAAAUCUAUAAUUAUGACAUUAUAAAUAAUCAUACUAGAAUUUGGAAAAAUUUCUUAUAAAAUGUGCUUGGCCAGGCACGGUGGCUCACACCGGUAAUUCCAGCACUUUGGGAGGCUGAGGCAGGCAGAUCACGAGGUCAGAUCGAGACCAUCCUGGCUAACAUGGUGAAACCCCAUCUCUACUAAAAAUACAAAAAAUUAGCCAGGCGUGGUGGCGGGCGCCUGUAGUCACAGCUACUCGGGAGGCUGAGGCAGGAGAAUGGUGUGAACCCAGGAGGCGGAGCUUGCAGUGAGCCAAGAUUGUGCCACUGCACUCCAGCCUGGGCAAAAGAGUGAGACUCUGUCUCAAAAAAAAUAAAAAUAAAAUAAAUAAAUAAAUAAAUAAAUAAAAUGUGCUCAUUUCAAUGAAAACUUGGGAGAUAGAAAAAAUUGCUUUUUUUGUGCCACAUGAUUUUAGAGUUAUUUGCUACAUGUGCUGCAUGAUUUUAGAGUUAUUGUGGUGUGAUGAAAUGUCAAGACUCAAAAGCUUUGUACGAAUAUGCAUGAGGUGGCAUGAAGUACUGGAAGGAAGACUAAACUGAGAUCCCAUAUAUCUAAAUGCAACCUUGUCAUUGAUGAAACAUGAGCCUGGUCAAGUUCUUUAACCCGUGUAGGCCUCAGUUACUGUUUCUGGCCAGACACUGAGACUGAGAAGCUUGACAUCACUACUUGGCUAUUCCUUCCUCAACCACAGUCAUAGCCAGGACAAGGAUUUCUCCUUAUUUCUGAACCUAACAGUCAUCCCUUCCUUUACAUUACCAGUGGCCUGACUUUAGUUUGGGUCUUUGUUGCUUCAUGUCUGGACUGUUGUAGUGGUUUCCUAGCCGAUGGUUUACUCUUGGACAUAUGCUAUGAAAUGCUGCCAUUUUGUCUGUUUAAAUCAUUACUUUUUUCAUGUCACUCCUUUCAAAUUCUUCAGUGGCUUCCCGUUGCCUCUAACAGUUACUCUUGGUGUGACACCCCCAUCCCUCCCUGAUAAGCCUAAGAAUGCUUUUCUAUCUUUGUCCCAGGUGUUUGCCCUACUUGGGUCUUUGCUGUCUCAAUCAUGUUAAUGCACUUACUACCUUCUUCAUAAUGGCAUAUCCUAGAAUGAAAGUCUUAUCGCUCAGCAUUUGUUCAGAAGCACCCUCCUUCCUGGAACGUUCCCUCUCUAUUGUUCUCUCUUAUCCUUCUUUCAAAUCUGAAAUCCAGAGCAUCUCAAGAAAGCUUAAUGAGAUUUCCAGUAAUAUCUCUGUCCUCUAAGUUCCUAUGUACUUAUGAUUGUCUGAGCAGUAUGCAUAGUACUUACUGUAUUUGACUUUGUAUAAAAUUUUUCUUCUCCCUUCAUUUACAUCUUUCAUCCCUUCUCAACUAAGAGAAAAGAGUCCACCACACUGAGUAGGCUUUACAGGAUCUAAUAGGGGGUUCAAUGGGAAAGGUAAAUAAAUGUUUUAUACCAUCUUCUGGGUUUCUUGCACAUUCAUGAUUGGCUAAAACUAAGACAUUUUGGGAGAGAAUUGUAGCAAUGUAUUCACACACAUAAAUUAAAACGUAAAGUCUUUCAAUAGGCUGUAAGCCUCAUCGUGAGAGUCACAAUGCCCAAGGCACCUUGUGUCCUCUUGGCUUUGAUGUAAAAGAUGUCCAAAGAAGGCUUAGGUGGAUGAUUUUAUUCCGUACAUGCUUUUCUAUGUCAAAAUUAUCAGUGAAAUAAAAGUAGUAUCCAGGAUUGGGGGACUUUCGGUUACUACAGAAAGCACUUUGCAUUUAAAAAAAUAUUUUACUAGCAUAAUUUUUUUGUUAUUUUUGAGAGAAACAUCUCUGUUGAAAUGUGUCUCUUGUAAUCCAAAAGUGAAAGUUUUCUUUGAAGGUCUCAGUUGACUCUUGUAACACAUUCCAAAGACAAUGGAUUCCACUAGACUCCUAAACUUAAACAAAAUGAUCGAAUUUUGACAUGGAGUUGGAGAAAGUGAUCCAUAUUGCUUAGUGUUUUGGGAGGGUGCUUUUUGUUGUUUGUUUGUUUUUCUUUAGAAAGCUGUCUGGGAUAUAGAUAUAAUGUGUGAUUUUAUGCCACACCAGCAUCAAAGUGUUCUUUUCAUCUUUCCUUUUGACUUAAGCGUACUCAUGAUUAAUGUAUGCCAAUAGAUUUUAAAGAUGCAGCCAUCUGCCUUGCCUUACCUGUAAGAGUUUGUUUGUUCUUACCUCCUUUGUAGGUUCCCAAAGUUUUAUACAUCCUUUAUGUAUAAAAAGGAUGGCAUGGCUGUCUAUAUACUGCAAUAUUCACGUCAGGAUUUCCAAGUCUUUGUUACGACAUAGGUUUUUUUUUUUUUUUAAACUGGAGUCACCAACAUGAUUGCUAAAGUUAGAUACACUUCUUUAUUAUUACCUGACUUGUUUUGUUUUUAAUCUAUGCAUUUGCUAAUGUUACUCCCUUUGACUAGACUGCUUCCCUUUUAAAAGGACAAUAUAGCUAAAUGCAAUGUUUCUUAAAGUGUGGUCCCUGGACCCGCAACAUCGGCAUCAUAUGAGAACCUGUUAGAAAGGCAAACUCCCGUCUUACUUAUUGAAUUAAAAACUCUAGGGCUGGAUUUUAACAAGCCCUCCAGAGCUUCUGAUGGAAGAAUAAGACAGAGAACCACUGGCUUUAUUGUUCACACUGUGGCCUCUAGGGCAGGCUGCUUGAAUUCAGAUAUUUAACCUUCAAGUCACUUAACUUUCCUGUGCCUCGGUUUCCUUCAUCUAUGAAUGGAAUAAUAAUAGUACUAUCCAUAUAGAGUUUUGGUGAAAUUAGACUGAGAUAAUACAUUUUAAAAAUUUAGUAAGUCCUGGCACCUGGGGAGUACUUAUAAACUUUAGCUGUUUUUUUCAAUUUUUUUUCCAUUCUCUAGGCUUACAGCACUUCUUCCUCUUGAUCAUCUUUCCAAUUCUUGAUGGGCUGACCCCUUCCCCUGUCUUGAACAUCCCUGACACCUCUCCUGAUGUUGUCAAUGCAGGGAGAAGGGUGCAUAUAUUUUUCUGUAGUCAAAUACUGAGGUUUCCCCUCAUUAACUUAUUUUUUUCUUGAAAACCUGUACUUAAUGAGGAACAAACAAAGAGGCAGAAUACAAUGCACUUAUUUUUUUCUUAGGUCUGGUUUCUAUUUAAAAUUUAAUCUAAUUUUUUAAGGUCCAACUGUUUUUUUUAGGCCUUGGGAAUAUGAACCGUACUUGUUUAGGCCUUGGGAAUGUGAGUCUGUACUAGCAUAAUUGAUAUGAGGAUGGAUGGUUGGGGGGUGUUUUCUGCCUGUCUUCAAUGAUGAAUCCUUCUUGUUUGUUCUAGAUGCUUCUGGACUUGUUAUCCUGUGUCAUUUCUACCUGGUGCCAGUUUUUGACAAAUGAUAGUAGCAAGUUGUGGUAUGCUACCUCAGGUUCCUAUUUUCCCUGAGUGCUUGGAUGUAAUAAUUUUAGAGACAGCCAAAUGGUUAAUGAGUCUUGCCCUCAGGAGCUCAGCACAGAGGGAAUCCUCACUAGCCUAUCAGAUGCCUCCUUGGAAAAUGGUGAAAGUGUGAGAGAGCAAGAUGAAUGGACAUUUGUAUAUCACAUUCUUUGAGAAUUGAAUAGGGGAUUUAUGGUGUUCCCUGACUUGACACACUUCACACUUGUCAUGUUGGCACAUUGCAUUAUACUCUGCUGCCCAUGGGGCUUUUGAUGAUGUUUCAGAAACAGGUAAUAGAUGUUUCUGUGCUGUAUCCAUGCAUUUGCAGAGAAAGAUCCAAUAUUAAAAACAAAGGUACAGUAGAAUCCAUCGCUAUCAACCAAACACAAAAGCCUACCUCUGCUCUCUGCUGUCUCGUUAGUCUCAAUUCCUUACCCGACAUAUAUAGCCCUUCUCCAACUAGAUAUGGUCCCCCUGAAAUAACAGCAUAGCCCAUAAUCAGUGCUGUUGUUUUAUGCACGGUUUAACAUUGAUUUGGGAGUGGCGCAAUUGGUGACCACUGUUCUGGCAGCACAGUGCAGUAGAAAGAACACUGGAUUAAGUAUCAUGAGCUCUUCAUGUUAACCGGGGACCUCCUGGGUGUGAGCUUGGAUGAAUCUCCAAUGGCCGUGGCCUAGUUGCCUCGUGGAACACCGGUGCACAGAAACUCCUGACCAGCCUCCCUCCCAGGAGGAAGACAUUAGAACUUGUUCUGAAAAGUAUACUUUUCAUACUUUUUUGAUUUGCUAAGUAUGGAAGUGAGAGAAAACCACCUAAUUGACUAUUCGUGAGGCAGUUGGAAUACAAAUGUAUUUACCCUCAAUUUUACAGAAAGAGAAACAGGGCCUUUAAAAUGGUGAGGAAGUUUUUUCAAGGAACACUGUAAGUGAUAGCCAAAGAAGGUCUUGACUUCUGUCUUCUGCUUACUAGUUGAGGUUCCCUGAGAUUUCUAUAUCUGCCUUAAACCCACACCCCUUAGUCCUUACUGCCACCACAGGCCUGGGCAGUAAGGAAUCAGCAACAGCUAUGCUGCGGUCAGGGUAAGAGGUCUUUUGCUCAUCUUUUGGGUGAAAUUCUGCAGCAAUCCUUGAAAAAGAAGGCUGCAAUAAUAGCUGUUACUAAAUUUUCUAAUAGCCAGGCAAAAAAGAGGCCACAGAUGCAUUUAGUUUUAUGUAAAAAUGUUUUAAAUGAAGAUUUCUUUUACAACUGAGUUUAUGAAUGGAGAGUCUAACUGGUUGCAUAUAAAUAGUGAGCACUAUAUGUUUACCACCUUCUGUGAAAUUAGGACAGUAUUUGUAGAUCUUUUUCAUAUGUACCCUCUCUUCACCAAUAGAGCAUCAGAAAGAGAAGAAACUUUAAUUUUUCAUUCUCUGUCAUCUUCUCAAAUUCCAGAGGUCAAUGCUCAUUAGAUAUAGACUUAUCAACUUCAAGUGAAAACAGGUUGAAAACAUCUAGAAUAAAAUAAAGAGAAGAUUUCUGAGCCUCAUAGUCUCUCAUCGCAUCUCCCAAGUAAAUUAGGAUCCCUUUAAGACAUUAUCUGUCAGGAUUAACUACACAUAUUCCCCAACUUCAAUAUUCCUGCUGCUAUUUAGGGCUUUUGUAGGGCUGCUUAAGGUUCUUAUUUAAGCCCUAAUGUUAAAUCCCGUGAUGCUGGAGUUGCUGACAGCUCUGCCUCUGUGUCAUGUGCUUUAAGCAUGCAGUCUAGCAUCUUUUCUUUCCUAUUCAUGCCACCGGGGUAAUACAGUUUCCCCAGUAUCCUCCUGAAAAGAUCUUGAAUCAAGAGGUAAGUCCUGAAAAACAUGCAAUGGAUCAUCAAAAGAAGCCGUAGUGGUGAAGAGAGGACUGUGAAUUGCAGAGUGACCAAUAUCUAAGUCUCAGUCAAGUAAGCACUCUAGUUAAGUUAUACUGUUGAGUUCAUAAGAAGGGUGCAUGCUAUGUGUAACAGCAUAGCAUAGUUCUAUGUAUGUAAGUCAUAAUUAUUUAAUUUUUGUGUUCACCCUGACCUUGCUUUUGUAUUAAUUAGCUAUUACUGUGAAACAGAUUAUGCCAAAAUUUAGCAGCUUAAAAUGAUACACAUUUAUGAUCUCAUAGUUUCUGUGGUUCAGGAAUCCAGGCACAGCUUAGCUGGGUCUUUUGCAUUAUAGUUUUUUACAAGCUUGCAAUCAAGGCUUUAGUCUAGGGGUUGCAUUCUCAUCUGAAGCCAGGAUUGGGAAAGGAUGUGUACCCAAAGCCACUCUCAUGGUUGAUGGUAGGACUCAGUUCCUCUACGGGCAUUGUACUGAGGGCUUCAGUUCCUUGCCAGCUAUUGACUGCAGGCCACCCUCCAUUAUUUGCUGUGUGACCGCUCUAACAUGGCAGCUUCCUUCAUCCAAAUGGGCAAACUCUGAAGACUGCUAUAGAAUGAAUGUUUGUUUUCCCCAAAUGCAUGUGUUGAAAACCCAAUCCCCAAUGUGAUAGUAUUAGGAGGUAAGGCCUUUGGCAGGUGAUUAGGUAAUGAGGGAGGGAGGAGCCCUCAUGAAUGGGAUUAAUGCCCUUAUUAAAAGGACCCCAGUGAGGUGUUUCUUUCUUCUGCCAUGUUAGGACACAGCAAGAAGAUGGCUGUCUAUGAACCUGAAUAUGUCUAGCCCUCACCAGACACUGAAUCUGAGAGAACCUUGAUCUUGGAUUUCCAGCCUCCAGAGUUGUGAGAGCUAAAUUUCUGUUGUUUGUAAACCACCCAGUCUAUGGUAUUCUGUUACAGCAGCCUGAACAGGCUAAUAUAAAGACAAUAAGGAGAAUUUGCUAGCAAGAUGGAAGCCACAAUCUUUUGUAACCUAAUCACAGAAGUGACAGCCUAUCACUUUUGCCUUAUUGUGUUUAUUAGAAGCAAGUCACUAGGUCUAGCCUACCCUCAGGGGAAAGAAAUUCCACCAGGGCACAAAUGCCAGGAGAUGGGUAUCAGUGGAGACCAUCUGAGAAGUCUGCCUACUAAGGCUUUCCAUGUCUACCUCCGAACAAGGGAAUCUAUCAUGAUUAUUGCAUGUGCCCUGAGCACUGGGUUUAGAUGACAUUAAGCAGAAUCAAGGUAAUUGUUCAGGAAACCUUCAGCGGGAGAGUCUGCCCUGUGUCUAGUUUCUCUUUUGCUUCAGAAAAUACUUACUUGAAUUGUUUCUAACUUAAUAAUACUUUGUGUUACCUGAGGGUCUCUAAAGGCUUGGUAAGCAUCAGAACAAAAAAUUUCUUCUCCACUUUCUAGGAGUUCUUAGAUCAUUAUUUUGCUGGUACAGUAACUGGCUCUCCUAAUCCACUGUGAAGCUUGCUUAUUUACUGUGCGGAUGGUUUGGACCAUCAAAAGUGUAGAGUUAAAAUAACCAGGGGAGAGAAUAUUAGACCCAGAAUCAAAGUAGCCUAAAGUUACCUCUUUAGGUACCUUGUUUCUCCCAUGUGCAAACUGUAAGCUCAAGUGUCUUUUCUCAGGUGGUCACAAUGUAGUUUGAGACUAGAGGGAUUGUGGAUGAAGAUGCUCUGAGUUAUUUAGAAGAGAUGCACUACAUCAGUAAUGGAUGGUUGUUAUUUGAUUAAAAUGGCUAAUUUUAAAAUCUUCAUUUUCUCUCAGUUAUAUUGCUCCUAUGUUAUGUCAAACACUGCUCAUGUCUUGCCUUGUUCCCCUCUCCCUCUGUUCUGCAUGCUACAGCUGUAAUAGUGUUUAUGAGAUGCUAAACUGACCAUAUCACUCCUCUACUAAAACUUUACAAUGAUAUGCAAAGGUCAUCAUACUAGAGUGUCAA
This is a long non-coding RNA of Homo sapiens (human), 11634 nucleotides long. RefSeq lists it as uncharacterized. NCBI's taxonomy places the organism in Eukaryota, Metazoa, Chordata, Mammalia, Primates, Hominidae. The transcript is spliced from 4 exons. The record is from RefSeq and is a predicted model, not a curated record.